AGUGAACGCUGGCGGUAGGCCUAACACAUGCAAGUCGAACGGCAGCACAGUAAGAGCUUGCUCUUACGGGUGGCGAGUGGCGGACGGGUGAGGAAUACAUCGGAAUCUACUUUUUCGUGGGGGAUAACGUAGGGAAACUUACGCUAAUACCGCAUACGACCUACGGGUGAAAGCAGGGGAUCUUCGGACCUUGCGCGAUUGAAUGAGCCGAUGUCGGAUUUGCUGGUUGGCGGGGUAAAGGCCCACCAAGGCGACGAUCCGUAGCUGGUCUGAGAGGAUGAUCAGCCACACUGGAACUGAGACACGGUCCAGACUCCUACGGGAGGCAGCAGUGGGGAAUAUUGGACAAUGGGCGCAAGCCUGAUCCAGCCAUACCGCGUGGGUGAAGAAGGCCUUCGGGUUGUAAAGCCCUUUUGUUGGGAAAGAAAAGCAGCAGGUUAAUACCCCGCUGUUCUGACGGUACCCAAAGAAUAAGCACCGGCUAACUUCGUG
Molecule: ribosomal RNA, 492 nt
Filed under: uncultured bacterium
Lineage: Bacteria
Description: partial 16S ribosomal RNA
Rfam family: Bacterial small subunit ribosomal RNA
Source: RNAcentral